Molecule: ribosomal RNA, 460 nt
Filed under: uncultured bacterium
Lineage: Bacteria
Description: partial 16S ribosomal RNA
Rfam family: Bacterial small subunit ribosomal RNA
Source: RNAcentral
CCUACGGGGGGCAGCAGUGAGGAAUAUUGGUCAAUGGGCGGGAGCCUGAACCAGCCAAGUCGCGUGAGGGAUGACGGCCCUAUGGGUUGUAAACCUCUUUUGCCGGGGAGCAAAGUGCCGCACGUGUGCGGUUUGGAGAGUACCCGGAGAAAAAGCAUCGGCUAACUCCGUGCCAGCAGCCGCGGUAAUACGGAGGAUGCGAGCGUUAUCCGGAUUUAUUGGGUUUAAAGGGAGCGUAGGCCGGCUUUUAAGUCAGCUGUGAAAGUCCGCGGCUCAACCGUGGAAUUGCAGUUGAAACUGGAGGCCUUGAGUGCACACAGGGAUGCCGGAAUUCAUGGUGUAGCGGUGAAAUGCUUAGAUAUCAUGAAGAACUCCGAUCGCGAAGGCAAGUGUCCGGGGUGCAACUGACGCUGAGGCUCGAAAGUGCGGGUAUCAAACAGGAUUAGAUACCCGGGUAGUC